This 376-nucleotide ribosomal RNA is filed under the name uncultured bacterium. RNAcentral describes it as "bacterial SSU rRNA". It matches the Rfam family "Bacterial small subunit ribosomal RNA", at positions 524 to 898 of the family's 1533-position model. The record is from RNAcentral.
UACAGAGGGUGCGAGCGUUAAUCGGAAUGACUGGGCGUAAAGGGCGCGUAGGUGGGUUGAUAAGAGAGUUGUGAAAUCCCUGGGCUUAACCUAGGAAUGGCAACUGAGACUGUUGAUCUGGAGUACAGUAGAGGGUAGUGGAAUUUCCGGUGUAGCAGUGAAAUGCGUAGAUAUCGGAAGGAACAUCAGUGGCGAAGGCGGCUACCUGGACUGAUACUGACACUGAGGCGCGAGAGCGUGGGGAGCAAACAGGAUUAGAUACCCUGGUAGUCCACGCUGUAAACGAUGAGAACUAGAUGUUGCAGAGCUUGGUCUCUGCAGUAUCGAAGCAAACGCGAUAAGUUCUCCGCCUGGGGAGUACGGCCGCAAGGUUAAA